This 253-nucleotide ribosomal RNA is filed under the name uncultured bacterium. RNAcentral describes it as "partial 16S ribosomal RNA". It matches the Rfam family "Bacterial small subunit ribosomal RNA", at positions 524 to 776 of the family's 1533-position model. The record is from RNAcentral.
UACGUAGGGUGCGAGCGUUGUCCGGAAUUAUUGGGCGUAAAAGAGCUUGUAGGCGGUUUGUCGCGUCUGCUGUGAAAAUCCGGGGCUCAACCCCGGACUUGCAGUGGGUACGGGCAGACUAGAGUGUGGUAGGGGAGACUGGAAUUCCUGGUGUAGCGGUGAAAUGCGCAGAUAUCAGGAGGAACACCGAUGGCGAAGGCAGGUCUCUGGGCCACUACUGACGCUGAGAAGCGAAAGCUGGGGAGCGAACAGG